This 1204-nucleotide ribosomal RNA is filed under the name metagenome. Its description in RNAcentral is "SSU rRNA". It matches the Rfam family "Eukaryotic small subunit ribosomal RNA", at positions 558 to 1790 of the family's 1831-position model. The record is from RNAcentral.
AGUCUGGUGCCAGCAGCCGCGGUAAUUCCAGCUCCAAUAGCGUAUAUUAAAGUUGUUGCAGAUAAAAAGUUCGUAGUUGAAUUUCUGAGCGCGGCGGCGGUCCGCCUUACGGUGUGCACUGGCUUGUCCGCGCUCAAACCUUGCGGAGAAGACGUGUGGCCUUUACUGGUUGUGCGUUGGAUCCGCAUCAAUUACUGUGAGCAAAUUAGAGUGUUUAAAGCGGGCGUUCGCUUGAAUACAUUAGCAUGGAAUAAUGAGAUAGGACUUUGGCGCUAUUUCGUUGGUUGCGUGCCAGAGUAAUGAUUAAUAGGGACAGUUGGGGGUAUUCAUAUUUGAUUGUCAGAGGUGAAAUUCAUGGAUUUAUCAAAGAUGAACAACUGCGUAAGCAUUUACCAAGGAUGUUUUCAUUAAUCAAGAUCGAAAGUCAGGGGAUCGAAGAGGAUUAGAUACCCUCGUAGUCUUGACCAUAAACUAUGCCGACUCAGGAUUGGCGGAGUUCUUCAAUGUCUCCGCCAGCACUGUAUGAUAAAUCAAAGUCUUUGGGUUCCGGGGGGAGUAUGGUCGCAAGGCUGAAACUUAAAGGAAUUGACGGAAGGGCACACCAGGAGUGGAGCCUGCGGCUUAAUUUGACCCAACACGGGGAAACUUACCAGGUCCAGACAUAGUAAGGAUUGACAGAUUGAGAGCUCUUUCUUGAUUCUAUGGGUGGUGGUGCAUGGCCGUUCUUAGUUGGUGGAGUGAUUUGUCAGGUUAAUUCCGGUAACGAACGAGACCUCCGCCUGCUAAAUAGUCACGUGAUGGUUCCCAUCCACGGACGACUUCUUAGAGGGACUACGGGCGGUGAGCUCGCGGAAGUUGGAGGCAAUAACAGGUCUGUGAUGCCCUUAGAUGUUCUGGGCCGCACGCGCGCUACACUGACUGGUUCAGCAAGCUUUAUCCUUUGCUCCGAAAGGCAAGGGUAAUCUUUGAACGCCAGUCGUGAUGGGGAUAGAUUCCUGUAAUGAUAAUCUUCAACGAGGAAUUCCUAGUAAACGCGACUCAUCAGGUCGCAUUGAUUACGUCCCUGCCCUUUGUACACACCGCCCGUCGCACCUACCGAUUGAAUGGUCCGGUGAAACUCUCGGAUCGUGGUCGAAUGCCUCUUCACGGGGGCGUCGACCGCGAGAAGUUAUUUUAACCUUAUCAUUUAGAGGAAGGUGAAGUC